AAGUGUAGUCUUGGCGAAAUCUGUGAUUAUAGAAAUAAAAUAAUCUUUGACAAUAGAAUCAUAAUAGCAUACAAACUUAUAAUUUCAAUUAACUAUAGUCGAAUUUCGACUACCAGGGAACACUAGUACACAUAAAUUGAAGACAGUUCAAUGGAAUUUACGAGUAUUUCCGACGUAAUUGUUUAAAUGUAUAAGGAUUCCCGCCCAGAGGGAAAAAUGACCGCCCAGUGAAAUAUUAUGAAAACUUCUGUAAUAUGUAACGGAGCGCCGUUUUAGUGAUAUACUGACGUAAUUAUCUGUAUCCACGGUCGUAUGAUCUGAUAUUCACGUUAUCAGGACACGGGAAUAUAGAGUUUUAUUUCUGGGAUAUUAAAGUAGAUUUUGUGGUUCGACAAUGUUCUGCUUAAGACUUUACGGUUUUGUUAUCGAAUUUAUGUUAUGAGGAUUAUCGUGGAUGAGUAAUAGAAUAUGGUUGGGUUGAGUUUGGAGUUAAAGUGUCUUUAGCAAUCUUCGUAUGAUGCAUAUUUUAUUUUUUUCUCUCUCACUAAUCCCUAGUUCCCUAAAUGCUAAUUUAGUUGUUGACACACUGACCCGGUAGGACAUAGGAAUCCAUUCCUCUGCCAUCUUGUAGAAUUUAUCGCAUCCAUAGACACUGAAUCUAAGGAGCUGAUACUCUGUUAUAUUGAGUGGCGUAAACUACAAUUAUUUUUAUGUAAUUUUUUUUAUUUUAAUUUUUAAAUCGAAAUAUCACCUUUAUUAUUUUGCUUUUGUUUCAAGACGCAAUGAACACAUUGAGUACUAUUUAUUGUUAGUAGUAAACUUAUAGUACCAAUAGGUAAGAACGGUCAGAAAAAGCCGUUUUUUUACAUAGCAUUAAUAUAUAAAAUUUACCUAAUCUAAUAGGUCUGCCUGCAGGUCAUUAGACAGUUCUGUUAACGUUCUCCAUUAUCGUAUUGUCACUAAAGGCACUAACACUACGUCACUAAAAGCAGUAUAAAGCUCAUGAAGAACGUCUUUAUUUCUUUUUUUUUUAAUCCUACUACUAUAAAUUUAGUGAUAAUAAAACCUUAAGUGAAUAA
Bombyx mori (domestic silkworm) is the source of this 1079-nucleotide long non-coding RNA. RefSeq lists it as uncharacterized. The transcript has 2 exons. The record is from RefSeq and is a predicted model, not a curated record. NCBI's taxonomy places the organism in Eukaryota, Metazoa, Arthropoda, Insecta, Lepidoptera, Bombycidae.